ACGAACGUUGGCGGCGUGGAUUAGGCAUGCAAGUCGAACGCUGCUCGGAGGGGCAACUCUCCGGGCGGAGUGGCGAACGGGUGAGUAGCGCGUGGGAAACCUGCCCUCGAGUUGGGGACAACCUUCCCAACGGGAGGCUAAUACCGAAUGUGGUCACUGGGAGGCAUCUCCCGGCGACUGAAGGUGGGGACCCGAAAGGGCCUGCCGCUCGAGGAUGGUCCCGCGUCCCAUUAGCUAGUUGGUAGGGUAACGGCCUACCAAGGCUACGAUGGGUUGCUGGUCUGAGAGGACGACCAGCCACACUGGGACUGAGAUACGGCCCAGACUCCUUCGGGAGGCAGCAGUCGAGAGGCUUCGGCAAUGGGGGAAACCCUGACCGAGCGACGCCGCGUGGGGGAUGAAGGCUCUUGGGUCGUAAACCCCUGUCAAGCGGGACGAAAUGCUCUGAGGCAAUAAGCCGAGGGGCCUGACGGUACCUACAGAGGAAGCUCCGGCUAACUCCGUGCCAGCAGCCGCGGUAAUACGGAGGGAGCAAGCGUUAUUCGGAAUUAUUGGGCGUAAAGGGCGUGUAGGCGGCCGUGCAAGUCGGGGGUGAAAUCCACUGGCUCAACCAGUGACGUGCCUUCGAAACUGCUCGGCUUGAGUACGGCAGAGGGAAGCGGAAUUCCAGGUGUAGCGGUGGAAUGCGCAGAUAUCAGGAAGAACACCGGUGGCGAAGGCGGCCAACUGGGCCUGUACUGACGCUGAGGCGCGAAAGCCAGGGGAGCGAACGGGAUUAGAUACCCCGGUAGUCCUGGCUGUAAACGAUGGGUACUAGAUGUAGGAGGUAUCGACCCCUUCUGUGCCGCAGCUAACGCAUUAAGUAUCCCGCCUGGGGAGUACGACCGCAAGGUUGAAACUCAAAGGAAUUGACGGGGGCCCGCACAAGCGGUGGAGCAUGUGGUUUAAUUCGACGCAACGCGAAGAACCUUACCGGGGCUUGACAUGCACAGGACAGGCGUAGAAAUACGCCCUCCUUUCGGGGUCUGUGCACAGGUGCUGCAUGGCUGUCGUCAGCUCGUGUCGUGAGAUGUUGGGUUAAGUCCCGCAACGGGCGCAACCCCUAUCCUUAUUUGCCAUCAUUAAGUUGGGCACUAUAAGGAGACUGCCGGUGUUAAACUGGAGGAAGGUGGGGACGACGUCAAGUCAUCAUGGCCCUUAUGCCCAGGGCUACACACGUGCUACAAUGGAUGAUACAGAGGGUUGCCAACUCGCGAGAGGGAGCUAAUCUCAGAAAGUCAUCCUUAGUUCGGAUUGGAGUCUGCAAUUCGACUCCAUGAAGCCGGAAUCGCUAGUAAUCGCGGAUCAGCAUGCCGCGGUGAAUACGUUCUCGGGCCUUGUACACACCG
Molecule: ribosomal RNA, 1388 nt
Filed under: uncultured prokaryote
Description: partial 16S ribosomal RNA
Rfam family: Bacterial small subunit ribosomal RNA
Source: RNAcentral